Molecule: non-coding RNA, 484 nt
Organism: Schizosaccharomyces pombe (fission yeast)
Lineage: Eukaryota; Fungi; Ascomycota; Schizosaccharomycetes; Schizosaccharomycetales; Schizosaccharomycetaceae
Source: the annotation of a GenBank genome assembly
UAGUCUCACAAACCAACGGAAAAGUGGGUGCGAAAUGGACAAAAAACACAGAAUUGAUCGAAAAUUGACUAUAAUAUUAAUCAAAUAGUCUCUUUAUUAAAUGGUGUAUCUCAACUUUCCCGCAAAAUCGAACUUCCAAAAAACGAGUGAUCAAUGUCCGAAGAGAGAGAAGCACUACUAAGAAGAACGAAAGCAAAAGGCUUAAUGUAGUUCACAAAGUAGUAUUGAAAAAUAAGUUUGCGAUAAAAUGGGAAAGAGAUAGUGGUCGAGAAAUGGAACCAAGGAAAAGAAGGUGAGAAAAUAAGAAGUACAGUGGGUAAAGGUAACAAGUAUGUUACUAAUGUGAUGGCUGCUAAGUAACCGAGAGAAUAAAAUCCUACGGAUUAAAACAAAACAAAAGUUACUUAAGUUGUUUUUUACAUUUUAAGCUACUCAACUGUUACCAUAUCCUUGCACCGUACUUUUUUUUCUAUUACCAAGUUGC